RNAcentral lists this long non-coding RNA (734 nucleotides) under Nicotiana tabacum (common tobacco). Its description in RNAcentral is "long non-coding RNA (NTAB_LNC007248)". Lineage: Eukaryota; Viridiplantae; Streptophyta; Magnoliopsida; Solanales; Solanaceae. The record is from RNAcentral.
UUUUAUUAGUACAAUAAUAAUAUAACAUUACAAAGAUGUCAAUAACUUCCAAGUUCUUGCUAGUUAUGUCCCUAGGACUAAUAGUUUUUACCACAUUUUCACUUGCUGAUCAACACUACCAAUCUACCAAACAUGAGCUUGGACGUUCUGAUACUAAUCAGCUAAACAUGAAUGGUUACUUAGCCAUGGAACCAGCACCACCAGACCUUGAGCAAGAAGGGCAUAUGUGGCGCUUGAACGACGACUCGAUCGCCAUGGAACCAGCACCACCAGACCUUGAGCAAGAAGUGCAUAUGUGGCGCUUGAACGACGACUCGAUCGCCAUGGAACCAGCACCAAGGUUUGAGCUAGAAGGGCAGAAGCAACAUGAGCAUGAGUCACACUUGAGGCUAGUAACUUAGAAAACAUGAUUAGCACCAGAAUAGAAUUAACUUGGAAGAUGGUGGAUUAUUGUACUAUAGUCCCUUAUUCUAAGUUGUGGAUCAAUAAUAAAGCUCCAUUGUCCUAAAUUUCCAUCUGAGUUAAAUUAUCACCUUAUAAUUAAGUCAUGUAACAGACUAAAAUAGUUUCUGAUCCUAAUAAAUCAUAUUUCUGCUAUUCAAAUAAAAGAAAAUUUAGUCAGAAGUCUGACGGAAACCUGCCUUAAAACAUUGCCAUAUUUUCUCUGUUGCAUUAAAAAUAAUUCAAGAUUUUAAGGUAUAUGUGCCAAACAAAUUAUCUACUGAAUUUGCUUC